This 71-nucleotide transfer RNA is filed under the name Maesaipsyche stengeli. RNAcentral's name for it is "tRNA-Leu". The record is from RNAcentral. Lineage: Eukaryota; Metazoa; Arthropoda; Insecta; Trichoptera; Hydropsychidae.
AUUAUUUUGGCAGAAUUAAUGCGUAAGUUUUAGAAACUUGAGAUUUAUAUAAAAUUUAUAUAAAGAUAAUA